UGGGGAAUUUUGGACAAUGGGCGAAAGCCUGAUCCAGCAAUGCCGCGUGUGUGAAGAAGGCCUUCGGGUUGUAAAGCACUUUUGUCCGGAAAGAAAUCCUUGGCUCUAAUACAGUCGGGGGAUGACGGUACCGGAAGAAUAAGCACCGGCUAACUACGUGCCAGCAGCCGCGGUAAUACGUAGGGUGCAAGCGUUAAUCGGAAUUACUGGGCGUAAAGCGUGCGCAGGCGGUUUGCUAAGACCGAUGUGAAAUCCCCGGGCUCAACCUGGGAACUGCAUUGGUGACUGGCAGGCUAGAGUAUGGCAGAGGGGGGUAGAAUUCCACGUGUAGCAGUGAAAUGCGUAGAGAUGUGGAGGAAUACCGAUGGCGAAGGCAGCCCCCUGGGCCAAUACUGACGCUCAUGCACGAAAGCGUGGGGGAGCAAAACAGGAUUAGAUACCCUGGUAGUCCACGCCCUAAACGAUGUCAACUAGUUGUUGGGGAUUCAUUUCCUUAGUAACGUAGCUAACGCGUGAAGUUGACCGCCUGGGGAGUAC
Molecule: ribosomal RNA, 537 nt
Filed under: uncultured bacterium
Lineage: Bacteria
Description: partial 16S ribosomal RNA
Rfam family: Bacterial small subunit ribosomal RNA
Source: RNAcentral